AAUAGAAAGGAAUAAUGCAACCAACCUAGUUGGCUAAUCAAUCUAAGAGAUUUUAUCUAUUAACAAACCAAAAACGAAUGACCAUAAUCCCAACCUUACCAACACCAGAGCAUACUAAUCAAUGAACCCCCGAAACCCACUUUCUUUUCUGACAAAAUCAACCGCGGUCACGACAUGUUGUUGAUAUUGAUUGAGUUUGAGGUGACCGAAUCCAUCCAUAAACCUAGACCCCGGUACCCUUCGUAACCAAAGCGUCACGACACCAUCCAAAGGUGACCUUUGGAUUCUUUUUUAGGGGCAAAAGGAGGAGCACGUAGGAAUGCCGACCACUCCAUAAGCCACUAGUGGUUAAGGAAAA
Molecule: long non-coding RNA, 358 nt
Filed under: Durio zibethinus
Lineage: Eukaryota; Viridiplantae; Streptophyta; Magnoliopsida; Malvales; Malvaceae
Description: long non-coding RNA (DZIB_LNC000812)
Source: RNAcentral